UGUCCAGGGAUGGGAAUCGAACCCACAGUGUUCCGCUUACCGGGAAGAUGCCAUGUCCACUGGCCUAACCUGGAC
Molecule: transfer RNA, 75 nt
Filed under: Cordylochernes scorpioides
Lineage: Eukaryota; Metazoa; Arthropoda; Arachnida; Pseudoscorpiones; Chernetidae
Description: tRNA-Thr
Source: RNAcentral